This 2287-nucleotide unclassified non-coding RNA is filed under the name Monomorium pharaonis (pharaoh ant). RNAcentral describes it as "dipeptidase 1, transcript variant X2". Lineage: Eukaryota; Metazoa; Arthropoda; Insecta; Hymenoptera; Formicidae. The record is from RNAcentral.
CAUGGCAGCUGCCCCGGCCGGGCAGCAGACCCCAGUCUUGCCGCGGCGGUCGCCGAGUGCGCGACGGCUCCGUUUACCUUUUUCCCCCAUCGCGUUCUCGCUGCUCUUUUUUGUCCGCGCCGCUCCGAGAUCGUAACCGCGGAGCGGCGACCUCCGGCACUCAGUGGGUGAUACACACUCUGAUAAAACGCCGCGUCGUUUUCUUGGUGAAAGCCCGGUCCAGCACCCCCCGGUGCCGUGGGGAUCUCAGUGGAGUUGACGGAGUCAGCGAACGACGUCGAACGCGCGAUCCGGAUCGUCCGCCGCGACAGAAAUGUAGUACGAGCUGGAGAUGGGCUAGGGGGAUUCGACGCGCUCGCAGAGGGUAGGAGGGAGCGCGUGGUAUAGUGGAAGAUGGACCCGUGCGAAGAGGGCCGCGCGACAGAGACGAGGCUCGCCGAAGCCGCGGAUUCGAUCGCGUAUCGCGCGCCACGCGGCAUUAGGAUGCAGUGAUCGGGGGAGGGUGGUGGUGUGGUGGUGCGAGGAGGUCAGGCGAGAGGAGGUCCGCGAGAGUGGACGACGACGAUGCAUCACACCGGCGGCGGCGGCGUCGGUGGUGGUGGUGGUGGUGGUGGUGGUGGUGGUGGCGGCGUCGGCGGCGGCGGCGGUGGUGGUGGUGGCGUUGGCGCCGGUUACGCAGGUGGCCCGCAGGAGCGCGUUCAUCAGGCUCCGCGACCGGUCCAGCCCGACGCGAAGUGUCCCUACGAGACCUACCAGGCGCAAAUCCCGGACUGCUGCGCGGCCGCGGUAGCGGCGCAAGAUCCGUAUCCACGGCCGCCUAGCGGCUACGACACCAGGUGUUACGACGAGUGCCAUCGCAGGACACCGUACCAGGAGGAGCCUUAUUCUCAGGAUGUAUCCUCGACAUUCCACCGGUCCCAGUCUAGACUGGGCUACGAGGAACGUCCUCAGUCCCGGGUGGGAUACGCCUCGGAUUCCAGGUGCGCCAGCGGGCUCGGGUACGACGACACCGGUGGGGGUUACCUGGAUCAGAGUGACCCGAGAAUGUAUUGCACCGGCGGCUAUUGCAUGGGAGAUAUGGCGACGAGCAGAGGCGUACACGGCGAGGAGGUCGAGCUCGACAUGCGGAGGCACAUUCAGGCAUGCGCCUGCACAUGCAACCACAUGGGCUACGGGAAUUACAUGGACUAUCAGACCACGUGCCUAACAGAACUGCCAGACGUGGCGCCUUGCAACGGCACCGUGCGGCUACCGCCGCCGUGCGAGGACUCGCCUAGCAGCGGCAGCAGCAAGGAUCGCAGAGACGAGAGUCCUCGCAGGAGGUGUCGGGUGUUGGCGCCUGUCCUGCUCCUAGUGGUCGUCCUGCUCCUCGGAGGCCUCUGUCUGCCGUUUCUACUACAAUCCGCGCCUGCCACGCACCAGCAGAGGCUGGACGUGAUCAGGAGGAUCCUCACUGAAGUGCCUCUGAUCGACGGGCACAACGAUUUGCCCUGGAAUGUCAGAAAGUUCGUACACAAUCAACUUGGCGAAGUCAACCUGAGCAGCGAUCUCGGCAGGGUCGACCCUUGGGCCAGAUCAGACUGGAGUCACACGGACAUCCCUAGAUUACGCGCUGGCCUCGUCGGUGCACAGUUUUGGUCCGCCUAUGUUCCUUGCGGUGCCGCUCAGUUAAAUGCAGUUCAACUCUCGUUGGAACAGAUCGACGUGAUUCGUCGACUCGCCGAAAUGAAUGCUCAACAUUUAACCCUGGUUACCUCCGUCAAAGGUCUCAUCGAGGCGCAUAGAGAAGGCAAGAUCGCAAGUCUAAUCGGAGUGGAAGGUGGUCAUUCCCUGGGGAAUUCCUUGGGUGUCCUUAGAACGUUUUACGGUCUGGGAGCACGAUAUCUUACUUUGACACAUGCGUGCGACACCUCCUGUCUGUUCUGUUGGCGAGACGAACAACACUCAGGACUCCACGCCGGGCCUCAGCGAAUUUGGGAAAGCAGUCGUCAGAGAAUUGAACAGGCUGGGCAUGUUGGUCGAUCUCUCGCAUGUUUCGACCAGAACGAUGAGGGCGGCCCUGCAGACGACGAGGGCGCCGGUGAUCUUCUCGCACAGCGCCGCCAGGGCACUGUGCAAUUCCACCAGAAACGUGCCGGACGAUGUACUCAGAAAUCUGGCUAAGAAUGGCGGAGUGGCGAUGGUCCCUUUUUAUACCUACUUCAUAACAUGCAACAGCACCGCCACUAUAAAAGACGUUAUUGCACACAUCAAUCAUAUUCGGAAGGUGGCGGGAAUCGAUCACGUU